Molecule: ribosomal RNA, 312 nt
Filed under: Triticum aestivum (bread wheat)
Lineage: Eukaryota; Viridiplantae; Streptophyta; Magnoliopsida; Poales; Poaceae
Description: partial small subunit ribosomal RNA
Source: RNAcentral
AUGCAUAGAACAACUACCGUCAUCGACGACCCGGGUACCAGAAAUGCCAAGUACCCCUUCGAAUUGACGAGACCGGGAAGUUCGAAGACCUCAAGUACCUCUUGGAAACGACCGAGUACCACCACCGUCGACCCUCGAAGACCCCGUGGAUGUCAAGUUCCUCGUUGUGACCCCGAACACCUACGGAGUGUGUACAACUACGAAGCGAGAACGACUACUUCCACUACGACGGUCACGAGAACGUCUGCUUCCCCUACACCGCUCCAAACUUGUUCCGUUCCGAAAAGGCACGCUUCGAAGCUAUGCCUCUAA